RNAcentral lists this ribosomal RNA (1563 nucleotides) under Vibrio alginolyticus. RNAcentral's name for it is "bacterial SSU rRNA". It matches the Rfam family "Bacterial small subunit ribosomal RNA". Lineage: Bacteria; Pseudomonadati; Pseudomonadota; Gammaproteobacteria; Vibrionales; Vibrionaceae. The record is from RNAcentral.
AAAUUGAAGAGUUUGAUCAUGGCUCAGAUUGAACGCUGGCGGCAGGCCUAACACAUGCAAGUCGAGCGGAAACGAGUUAUCUGAACCUUCGGGGAACGAUAACGGCGUCGAGCGGCGGACGGGUGAGUAAUGCCUAGGAAAUUGCCCUGAUGUGGGGGAUAACCAUUGGAAACGAUGGCUAAUACCGCAUGAUGCCUACGGGCCAAAGAGGGGGACCUUCGGGCCUCUCGCGUCAGGAUAUGCCUAGGUGGGAUUAGCUAGUUGGUGAGGUAAGGGCUCACCAAGGCGACGAUCCCUAGCUGGUCUGAGAGGAUGAUCAGCCACACUGGAACUGAGACACGGUCCAGACUCCUACGGGAGGCAGCAGUGGGGAAUAUUGCACAAUGGGCGCAAGCCUGAUGCAGCCAUGCCGCGUGUGUGAAGAAGGCCUUCGGGUUGUAAAGCACUUUCAGUCGUGAGGAAGGUAGUGUAGUUAAUAGCUGCAUUAUUUGACGUUAGCGACAGAAGAAGCACCGGCUAACUCCGUGCCAGCAGCCGCGGUAAUACGGAGGGUGCGAGCGUUAAUCGGAAUUACUGGGCGUAAAGCGCAUGCAGGUGGUUUGUUAAGUCAGAUGUGAAAGCCCGGGGCUCAACCUCGGAAUAGCAUUUGAAACUGGCAGACUAGAGUACUGUAGAGGGGGGUAGAAUUUCAGGUGUAGCGGUGAAAUGCGUAGAGAUCUGAAGGAAUACCGGUGGCGAAGGCGGCCCCCUGGACAGAUACUGACACUCAGAUGCGAAAGCGUGGGGAGCAAACAGGAUUAGAUACCCUGGUAGUCCACGCCGUAAACGAUGUCUACUUGGAGGUUGUGGCCUUGAGCCGUGGCUUUCGGAGCUAACGCGUUAAGUAGACCGCCUGGGGAGUACGGUCGCAAGAUUAAAACUCAAAUGAAUUGACGGGGGCCCGCACAAGCGGUGGAGCAUGUGGUUUAAUUCGAUGCAACGCGAAGAACCUUACCUACUCUUGACAUCCAGAGAACUUUCCAGAGAUGGAUUGGUGCCUUCGGGAACUCUGAGACAGGUGCUGCAUGGCUGUCGUCAGCUCGUGUUGUGAAAUGUUGGGUUAAGUCCCGCAACGAGCGCAACCCUUAUCCUUGUUUGCCAGCGAGUAAUGUCGGGAACUCCAGGGAGACUGCCGGUGAUAAACCGGAGGAAGGUGGGGACGACGUCAAGUCAUCAUGGCCCUUACGAGUAGGGCUACACACGUGCUACAAUGGCGCAUACAGAGGGCGGCCAACUUGCGAAAGUGAGCGAAUCCCAAAAAGUGCGUCGUAGUCCGGAUUGGAGUCUGCAACUCGACUCCAUGAAGUCGGAAUCGCUAGUAAUCGUGGAUCAGAAUGCCACGGUGAAUACGUUCCCGGGCCUUGUACACACCGCCCGUCACACCAUGGGAGUGGGCUGCAAAAGAAGUAGGUAGUUUAACCUUCGGGGGGGACGCUUACCACUUUGUGGUUCAUGACUGGGGUGAAGUCGUAACAAGGUAGCGCUAGGGGAACCUGGCGCUGGAUCACCUCCUUAUACGAUGAU